This 443-nucleotide ribosomal RNA is filed under the name uncultured bacterium. RNAcentral's name for it is "partial 16S ribosomal RNA". It matches the Rfam family "Bacterial small subunit ribosomal RNA", at positions 338 to 795 of the family's 1533-position model. The record is from RNAcentral.
CCUACGGGGGGCAGCAGUGGGGAAUAUUGGGCAAUGGGCGCAAGCCUGACCCAGCAAAGCCGCGUGAAGGAAGAAGGCUUUCGGGUUGUAAACUUCUUUUCUGAAGGACGAAGAAAGUGACGGUACCUCCGGAAUAAGCCACGGCUAACUACGUGCCAGCAGCAGCGGUAAUCCGUAGGUGGCAAGCGUUAUCCGGAUUUAUUGGGUGUAAAGGGCGUGUGGGCGGGAAAGUAAGUCAGAUGUGAAAACUCAGGGCUCAACCCUGAUCCUGCAUUUGAAACUGUUUUUCUUGAGUGCUGGAGAGGCAAUCGGAAUUCCGUGGGUAGCGGUGAAAUGCGUAGAUAUACGGAGGAACACCAGUGGCGAAGGCGGAUUGCUGGACAGUAACUGACGCUGAGGCGCGAAAGCGUGGGGAGCAAACAGGAUUAGAUACCCCUGUAGUC